AUAUAUGGAUAAGGUUGGAUGUUUGGAAAGAGUGGUGCUGCAUUGGCACAGCUGCCCAGGGAGGUGGUGGGGUCCCUGUUCCUAGGGGUGUCCUCUUGGACAUGGAGAUGUGGCACUGAGGGGUGCGGUCAGUGGGCACGGCGGGAUGGGUUGGGUUUGGACCUGAUGAUCUCAGAGGUCUCUGCUUAGUGUGUUGUGAGUUCAUAACGCUUCUUUUGCUGGGAGGGUGGAGAUGAGUGGACGUCACAGAAGUUUGACUCUUGGAUUUGUGUGGGUUUGGUAUUUUUCAGGGUGAUUUUCAGGAUGGACAGCUUGAUGAGAGAGAGAGAUGGCUUCUGAGAAGGCAAUUACUUUGGCAGCUCUGGAUGCUGCAGAAAAGGAUGCUGAGCAGCAGGAGUGGGAGGCAGCUGUGUGGCUGAUCUGAUCUGAGCAUCAGUCACUGUACUCCAGGAUAAGGACUGUGAUGUUCCUGCAACCUGGAGAAUUACAGAGGAAUUUCUUUGUGGCCCAGAAGGCGCUGACCUCAUUCCUCCACCUUCCCACGCCCAGCAGUUUACAGGUUCAUUGGGAAAGAUUAAGGUAAUGAACUGUUCCCUUUCAUUUCCCCAUCCAUAAGCAGAAAUCCUCAGGCCAGAGAUAAGACACUGUGUUCAUCAUAAUAUGUUCCCAAAGGCUGGAGGUGGAACUGUGUGCUGGUGGGCAGGAAGAGGAAAACGCUGCCUAGCACUGCCCUGGAGUGAGCGAUAAAUCUGUAUGAAGGAGAAGGACGUGGGGAUCCAGGGACAAAAAGUGCAGGACAAAGGACAGAAGAACACCCAGCAGCAAACAUAUUUCCUUCUAAGCCAGCAAUGUUUUAUGCACGUGGGGAUCCCUUUGUGCCCAACUCCACCAAAGCUCCCUUCAAAGUAUGCACAGAUGCAAGCAACAGGGAGAAGGCGAGACCUGAGGAAUGCACUCUGAGCAGCAGCAGGAAUCACUCAGCCUCAGUGAUGCUCUGUGUUUUCAGCUGGGGCUGAUGCUCCCCCAGUCCUUCUGUCAGCAGGGCAGGGCUGGGAGAACACACUCAAUAGCAGUGAAAUCAAAGGGCACAAAUCAUGUUUGAACACAUCUGUAUCUGCCAAGCAAGGUCUUGUGGAUCUCAGAGGUAAGACUGCUUUCUCAGUGUGGUGUUCUCUAAAGAGCAAAUGGUGGAGUGUGGGACAGGCAGGGAGGCAUCGGCCAGCUUGAAAUGGGGGCUGUAGGGGCUGUGGCACAUGGAUCUGGAUCUCCAGAGGCGCUGAUGAGAAAUCCACACUGCUUGGUGCCCGGCAGGACACAGGAACCUGAGGGAGCCAUGGUCAU
RNAcentral lists this long non-coding RNA (1341 nucleotides) under Coturnix japonica (Japanese quail). RNAcentral describes it as "lncRNA (ENSCJPG00005008821.1)". Lineage: Eukaryota; Metazoa; Chordata; Aves; Galliformes; Phasianidae. The record is from RNAcentral.